CCGCGGGGAUGCGCGCAGGAUUCGCGCAGGAUGCGCGGGGGAUGCGCGGCCCCGGGGGUCCCGGGGGUCCCGGGUUUCGGGGUCACGGCGCAGGGAAAGGGGGCGGCUGCGGUCACUGUCCCAUGGUGGUGCGGUGUUUCCGUCUUUCCCCGCGCAGGCAGCUGCAAGAGGAGCCUGCUUUGAAGGUUUCUCCUUUUCUUCGAUCUAGACGAGGUUAUCGGCAGGAAAUGGUGACAGAAUUUACUUGAACUUUAAAUCACCCAGAAACCACAAGAAACCACCAGCAAAACAAAUUUACAUCAUCGAGAGGCUGCUGCAAAGAAGUGAAUUUUUUUUUCACCUCACGUGCACAGCAGGAUUUUUCAGUACAUUAUUAUUUACAAGGUGAACAUCAAUAUUGUUUAUAUGCAAAGGUUUCUGUUGUUUGUUGGUUUAGGGUGAUGAUAAAUUGGAAUUAUUUUAAGUUCAGCAUCACCAUGGAGAUCUGGGGGCUAACACAGCACUGAGGUUGUAGUAAAAUAUCAUCAGAAAAAAAAGCCAAAAUUUCUUCUUUAAGU
Long non-coding RNA from Vidua chalybeata, 557 nucleotides. RefSeq lists it as uncharacterized. NCBI's taxonomy places the organism in Eukaryota, Metazoa, Chordata, Aves, Passeriformes, Viduidae. The record is from RefSeq and is a predicted model, not a curated record. The transcript has 3 exons.